This is a non-coding RNA of Acanthosepion pharaonis, 109 nucleotides long. The record is from the annotation of a GenBank genome assembly. NCBI's taxonomy places the organism in Eukaryota, Metazoa, Mollusca, Cephalopoda, Sepiida, Sepiidae.
UUACGGUUAUAUCACUUUGAAACCCCAGUUCUCGUUCGAUCACCGAAGUUAAGCAACGUCGAGCCUGGUCAGUAUCUAGACGGAUGACUGCUUGGAAAUACCAAGAGCU